UACGAGGGGUCCUAGCGUUGUUCGGAAUCAUUGGGCGUAAAGCGUCUGUAGGCGGCUUUGUAAGUCGGGUGUGAAAGCCCCAGGCUCAACCUGGGAAGUGCAUUCGAUACUGCUUAGCUUGAAUGUUGGAGAGGCUAGUAGAAUUCCAGGUGUAGUGGUGAAAUACGUAGAUAUCUGGAGGAAUACCGGUGGCGAAGGCAGCUAUCUGCCAAACAUUGACGCUGAGAGACGAAAGUGCGGGGAUCAAAGCAGGAU
Molecule: ribosomal RNA, 255 nt
Filed under: uncultured bacterium
Lineage: Bacteria
Description: partial 16S ribosomal RNA
Rfam family: Bacterial small subunit ribosomal RNA
Source: RNAcentral